Molecule: ribosomal RNA, 439 nt
Filed under: uncultured bacterium
Lineage: Bacteria
Description: partial 16S ribosomal RNA
Rfam family: Bacterial small subunit ribosomal RNA
Source: RNAcentral
CCUACGGGAGGCAGCAGUGGGGAAUAUUGCACAAUGGGGGGAACCCUGAUGCAGCGACGCCGCGUGAGUGAAGAAGUAUUUCGGUAUGUAAAGCUCUAUCAGCAGGGAAGAAAAUGACGGUACCUGAAGAAAAAGCAUCGGCUAACUCCGUGCCAGCAGCCGCGGUAAUAGGGGGGAUGCGGGCGUUAUCCGGAUGUAUGGGGUUUAAAGGGUGCGCAGGCGGUCUGUUAAGUCAGCGGUCAAAGCCCGGGGCUAAACCUCUUCGAGCCGUUGAAACUGGUUUUCUUGAGUGAGCGAGAGGUAUGCGGAAUGCGUGGUGUAGCGGUGAAAUGCAUAGAUAUCACGCAGAACUCCGAUUGCGAAGGCAGCAUACCGGCGCUCAACUGACGCUCAUGCACGAAAGUGUGGGUAUCGAACAGGAUUAGAUACCCGAGUAGUC